GGGGACGUAACAAAGCGACCCAGGAAUGCUUGGGCGUGCCUCCACCCACGCCGGCGUCGGCGGGCGUAUUUCGCCUCACAGUAGGUCGCCGCGACCCGUUGCUUUUGGGGACGUCGAAGGCCCGGACGGAUUGGUACCCUACCGGCUGGGGAUGCGGCUUCGGCUUCUCCUCUUGUCCGGUGGGCGAAACCGCCGGUGUCCUGGCUGCCCUGCGACGGUCGUAGAGACGAGCCCUCCCCUUCGGGGGGGCGGCUCUCGCGGCGUGCAAAAGGUCGGUGAUCCACCCGACCCGUCUUGAAACACGGACCAAGGAGUCUAACAUGUGUGCGAGUCAGUGGGCGCACUAAACCCAGAGGCGUAAUGAAAGUGACACGGGUUCGGCUGUCGCCUCGUGUGGCAGCCGGACUCAGGGCCGAUCCCUCACCGGUUGCCCUCGCCUCUCUCCCGCGUCUCGGUAAGCCGGGUGAGCUAUUUUCCCCGGCCGCUGCUGCGGGGCUCGGGGGGAGGCGGGGUGCGAUGGUGUCUGUAAAAAAGAGCCUGCUGUUGCAGGGGGGCGCAGGCCCGGGACUUGCCAGGACGCCGCGAGACUGUCACUUUGCUGUGAGGCUCUCGGGCCGAUCAGCGGGUCAUGCGUGCAGUCGGCAAGUACCAUGAGCAGACAUGUUGGGACCCGAAAGAUGGUGAACUAUGCCUGGCCAGGAUGAAGCCAGAGGAAACUCUGGUGGAGGUCCGUAGCGAUUCUGACGUGCAAAUCGAUCGUCGGAGCUGGGUAUAGGGGCGA
This 781-nucleotide ribosomal RNA is filed under the name Fallicambarus caesius. RNAcentral's name for it is "partial 28S ribosomal RNA". The stretch from base 306 to 781 matches the Rfam family "Eukaryotic large subunit ribosomal RNA", at positions 665 to 926 of the family's 3401-position model. The record is from RNAcentral. Lineage: Eukaryota; Metazoa; Arthropoda; Malacostraca; Decapoda; Cambaridae.